Molecule: ribosomal RNA, 471 nt
Filed under: uncultured bacterium
Lineage: Bacteria
Description: bacterial SSU rRNA
Rfam family: Bacterial small subunit ribosomal RNA
Source: RNAcentral
GGACGAACGCUGGCGGCGUGCUUCAUACAUGCAAGUCGAACGAGAAUCUUACUUCGGUAAGAGGAAAGUGGCGGACGGGUGAGUAAUAUGUAGAGAAUCUGCCCUUAAGCGGGGGACAACAGUUGGAAACGACUGCUAAUACCCCAUAUGAGCGUACCUGAAAUGGUAUUCUUGAAAACUCCGGUGCUUAAGGAUGAGUCUGCAUCUGAUUAGCUAGUUGGGGGUGUAAUGGACCACCAAGGCGACGAUCAGUAGCUGGUUUGAGAGGAUGAUCAGCCACAAUGGGACUGAGACACGGCCCAUACUCCUACGGGAGGCAGCAGUAGGGAAUUUUGCGCAAUGGGCGAAAGCCUGAACCGCAGCAACGCCGCGUGAACGAGAAGCCCUUCGGGGUGUAAAGUUCUGUCAGUAGGGACGAACAAUGACUGUACCUACAGAGGAAGCACCGGCUAACUCCGUGCCAGCCGCGGC